CUGUCCUACGGGAGGCAGCAGUGGGGAAUAUUGGGCAAUGGGCGCAAGCCUGACCCAGCAACGCCGCGUGAAGGAAGAAGGCUUUCGGGUUGUAAACUUCUUUUAUGAGGGACGAGAGAAAUGACGGUACCUCAUGAAUAAGCCACGGCUAACUACGUGCCAGCAGCCGCGGUAAUACGUAGGUGGCAAGCGUUAUCUGGAUUUACUGGGUGUAAAGGGCGUGUAGGCGGGACUGCAAGUCAGAUGUGAAAAUUAUGGGCUCAACCCAUGACCUGCAUUUGAAACUGUAGUUCUUGAGUGCUGGG
Molecule: ribosomal RNA, 305 nt
Filed under: uncultured bacterium
Lineage: Bacteria
Description: bacterial SSU rRNA
Rfam family: Bacterial small subunit ribosomal RNA
Source: RNAcentral